RNAcentral lists this ribosomal RNA (396 nucleotides) under uncultured bacterium. RNAcentral describes it as "bacterial SSU rRNA". It matches the Rfam family "Bacterial small subunit ribosomal RNA", at positions 30 to 429 of the family's 1533-position model. The record is from RNAcentral.
AUUGAACGCUGGCGGCAUGCCUUACACAUGCAAGUCGAACGGCAGCACGGGAGCAAUCCUGGUGGCGAGUGGCGAACGGGUGAGUAAUGUAUCGGAACGUACCCUUCAGUGGGGGAUAACGUAGCGAAAGUUACGCUAAUACCGCAUAUUCUGUGAGCAGGAAAGCAGGGGAUCGCAAGACCUUGCGCUGAUUGAGCGGCCGAUAUCAGAUUAGCUAGUUGGUGAGGUAAAGGCUCACCAAGGCGACGAUCUGUAGCGGGUCUGAGAGGAUGAUCCGCCACACUGGAACUGAGACACGGUCCGGACUCCUACGGAGGCAGCAGUGGGGAAUUUUGGACAAUGGGCGCAAGCCUGAUCCAGCCAUGCCGCGUGAGUGAAGAAGGCCUCGGUUGUAAG